UACGGGGGGGGCAAGCGUUGUUCGGAAUUACUGGGCGUAAAGGGCUCGUAGGCGGCCAACUAAGUCAGACGUGAAAUCCCCAGGCUCAACCUGGGAACUGCGCCUGAUACUGGAUGGCUUGAAUCCGGGAGAGGGAUGCAGAAUUCCAGGUGUAGCGGUGAAAUGCGUAGAUAUCUGGAGGAAUACCGGUGGCGAAGGCGGCAUCCUGGACCGGCAUUGACGCUGAGGAGCGAAAGCCAGGGGAGCAAACGGG
This 253-nucleotide ribosomal RNA is filed under the name uncultured bacterium. Its description in RNAcentral is "partial 16S ribosomal RNA". It matches the Rfam family "Bacterial small subunit ribosomal RNA", at positions 524 to 776 of the family's 1533-position model. The record is from RNAcentral.